GUGCCAGCAGCCGCGGUAAUACAGAGGUGGCAAGCGUUGUUCGGAAUUACUGGGCGUAAAGGGCGCGUAGGCGGUUCGCCAAGUCCCGUGUGAAAUCCCUCGGCUCAACCGAGGAACUGCGCGGGAAACUAGUGAGCUUGAGUUCGGGAGAGGGAAGCGGAAUUCCGGGUGUAGCGGUGAAAUGCGCAGAUAUCCGGAGGAACACCGGUGGCGAAGGCGGCUUCCUGGACCGACACUGACGCUGAGGCGCGAAAGCUAGGGGAGCAAACGGGAUUAGAAACCCUAGUAGUCC
This 292-nucleotide ribosomal RNA is filed under the name uncultured bacterium. Its description in RNAcentral is "partial 16S ribosomal RNA". It matches the Rfam family "Bacterial small subunit ribosomal RNA", at positions 505 to 796 of the family's 1533-position model. The record is from RNAcentral.